Molecule: small nuclear RNA, 107 nt
Filed under: Dasypus novemcinctus (nine-banded armadillo)
Lineage: Eukaryota; Metazoa; Chordata; Mammalia; Cingulata; Dasypodidae
Source: RNAcentral
AUGCUCGCUUCAGCGGCACAUAUACUAAAAUUGGAACAAUACAGAGAAGAUUAGCACGGUCCAUUUGCAAGGAUGACAUGCAAAUUCAUGAAGCGUUCCAUAUUUUU